Molecule: ribosomal RNA, 508 nt
Filed under: Gratidiini sp. 1 SB-2021
Lineage: Eukaryota; Metazoa; Arthropoda; Insecta; Phasmatodea; Diapheromeridae
Description: partial large subunit ribosomal RNA
Source: RNAcentral
GAAUCCUGAAUUCGAAAGGGGCCCUGGAUUCAACGCGAUCCUGUACCAAUAGUGUAUUCGGACCGCCAGAUGGCGCCGGGCGCCCGCGGCGAUUCGCUUCGCUCGCGGUGUCGUUCCAGGCGCUCACUCGGCGGGCCGUCCAUCACGAGCUGGGACGUGUGCACUUCCACCCUAGUAGAAACGUCGCGACCCGCUGGGUGCCGGCCUCAAGGCCCGGGAUGGCAGACCGCGCGCACCGCACCGGGAUUUCAUCCCGACGGGCGCGCGGACUCCCGGUGACCCGGCCGGCUGCCCGGCGGUAAAUGAGAGGAGUCGAUCCGCAAAAUGAGAAACAGUGUGUCUAUGUGAAGCGUCCGGCCCGGCGCCGAUGCGCGCGGGGAAUACAAGGUGAGAACCGGGGGAACCCCGUGCCCGGCACGGUCCCGGCCCCGCGUCGCGUUCGGUCGCCGGAGUCCUCGGACUGGAUCGAAACUCCCGUCCGCGACGACCACCUUCGGAUGGUCUCCCG